CUCAAUCCUACGUGGGCUCCAAAAAAAAAAAAUUAAAUACAAAAAUAUAAGCAGGUCUGUGUCCUUCUCCUACCUGCCCUUCUAUAGCAUACUCUCCAUCUUUUAGGCUGGUGAGAGUCUGGAUAUAGGACAUCCCUUGCUUCAGAUAGCCUGCCAGGGCUGGGUACCAGUAGAUGUGCCCCCCCCCCCGAAGUGCGCUGAGAAACCCUGCCCUAUAAUUUUGCAUCACGGCUCCCAAUUUGGUCAAAGACGAGUUCUACUCCUUUAAGUGCCAAGAAGAGGUCUUAUUCUGUCCUGCGCCAGAAGACACUGAACGAUGCCAGGCUAAGAACACUUGACUUAACAGAGAUGAUGCCUUCCCCUAAGAUCAGAAUCAGUGGAGAAGCAAGUAGUACAGAAGCUACAACCUCUUGAUAGGAGAAAGAACUGGGGGCAAUAGAAUCCCUCCUACAACCUAGAGCACCCCAUCCCCCAGAUUAUAUUAGAAAUGUUUGGUUUGACUGUGUAAAAAUAACACCGAUUGUUUUCAUUUAGGAGAAUGACUUACCAUUUAUGCCUAAUUAUCA
This 566-nucleotide long non-coding RNA is filed under the name Phascolarctos cinereus (koala). RNAcentral's name for it is "lncRNA (ENSPCIG00000012104.2)". The record is from RNAcentral. Lineage: Eukaryota; Metazoa; Chordata; Mammalia; Diprotodontia; Phascolarctidae.